RNAcentral lists this ribosomal RNA (164 nucleotides) under Saccharum fulvum. Its description in RNAcentral is "5.8S ribosomal RNA". It matches the Rfam family "5.8S ribosomal RNA". Rfam says of the family: 5.8S ribosomal RNA (5.8S rRNA) is a component of the large subunit of the eukaryotic ribosome. The record is from RNAcentral. Lineage: Eukaryota; Viridiplantae; Streptophyta; Magnoliopsida; Poales; Poaceae. RNAcentral also lists the same sequence under 1 other name.
CACACGACUCUCGGCAACGGAUAUCUCGGCUCUCGCAUCGAUGAAGAACGUAGCAAAAUGCGAUACCUGGUGUGAAUUGCAGAAUCCCGCGAACCAUCGAGUUUUUGAACGCAAGUUGCGCCCGAGGCCUUUUGGCCGAGGGCACGUCUGCCUGGGCGUCACGC